RNAcentral lists this ribosomal RNA (468 nucleotides) under uncultured bacterium. RNAcentral's name for it is "partial 16S ribosomal RNA". It matches the Rfam family "Bacterial small subunit ribosomal RNA", at positions 28 to 507 of the family's 1533-position model. The record is from RNAcentral.
GACGAACGCUGGCGGCGUGCUUAACACAUGCAAGUCGAACGGAAAGGCCCUGCUUUUGUGGGGUGCUCGAGUGGCGAACGGGUGAGUAACACGUGAGUAACCUUCCCUGGACUUUGGGAUAACUUCAGGAAACUGGGGCUAAUACCGGAUAGGAGCUCCUGCUGCAUGGGGGGGGUUGGACAGUUUAGGCGGUUGGGGAUGGACUCGCGGCUAAUGAGCUUGUUGGUGGGGUAGUUGCUUACCAAGGCUUUGACGGGUGGCCGGCCUGAGAGGGUGACCGGGGACAUGGGGACUGAGAUACGGACCAGACUCGUACGGGAGGCAGCAGUGGGGAAUAUUGCACAAUGGGCGGAAGCGUGAUGCAGCAACGCCGCGUGCGGGAUGACGGCCUUCGGGUUGUAAACCGCUUUCGGCUGUGACGAAGCGUGAGUGACGGUAAUGGGUAAAGAAGCACCGGCUAACUACGUG